This 384-nucleotide unclassified non-coding RNA is filed under the name uncultured Phycisphaeraceae bacterium. Its description in RNAcentral is "contains 16S-23S intergenic spacer region". The record is from RNAcentral. Lineage: Bacteria; Pseudomonadati; Planctomycetota; Phycisphaerae; Phycisphaerales; Phycisphaeraceae.
UCCGGUUUGACACCGGCAGUCUCGCUAGAGUGCUCAGCAUUACCUGGUGGCAACUAGCGACAGGGGUUUCGCUCGUUAAGGGACUUAACCCGACACUUCACAGCACGAGCUGACGACAGCCAUGCAGCACCUGUGUAUGUUGUACUCAAAGAGCCUCACUGACGUUUCCGCCAGCUAAUCCAUACAUGUCAAGCCCAGGAUAAGGUUCUUCGCGUUGCUUCGAAUUAAGCCACAUGCUCCACCGCUUGUGUGAGCCCCCGUCAAUUUCUUUGAGUUUUAGCCUUGCGACCGUACUCCCCAGGCGGUGUACUUAACGUUUUUACUUCGACCACAAUGACGUAUUAGUCUCUGCGAUCCAGUACACAUAGUUUAGGGCGUGGACUA